Molecule: long non-coding RNA, 248 nt
Filed under: Ananas comosus (pineapple)
Lineage: Eukaryota; Viridiplantae; Streptophyta; Magnoliopsida; Poales; Bromeliaceae
Description: long non-coding RNA (ACOM_LNC001336)
Source: RNAcentral
AAUCCAAUCCGUUGACAUCUGUAUACGUACUUAUAUACUCUUAUAACAUUUUCGACUUUUAUAUUUAUCCUUUUUUUGAGACUAAUAUAAAAACUAUCCUCAUAAAAUUUUAUUUUUCCAAAAAUAUCGUUGUAAAUUAAAGUUCCAAACUCUUUCAAAUUUACCUCUUGAAUUAGAUUUUAUAAAUACAUCGUUAAAAAUAACCGUUAUCUUUCAUAAAAUAACUAUUUUGCGUAUUUAAAUAUAUU